Molecule: ribosomal RNA, 1511 nt
Filed under: metagenome
Description: bacterial SSU rRNA
Rfam family: Bacterial small subunit ribosomal RNA
Source: RNAcentral
UUGAUCCUGGCUCAGAACGAACGCUGGCGGCGUGGAUUAGGCAUGCAAGUCGAACGCGAACGUCACCUUCGGGUGGCUAGUAGAGUGGCGAACGGGUGAGUAACGCGUGAGAAACCUGCCUAGAAGUGGGGGAUAACACUCCCAACGGGGUGCUAAUACCGCAUGUGAUGUGAGUGUCUCCUGGCACACACAGGAAAGAUGGCCUCUGCUUGCAAGCUAUCGCUUCUAGAUGGUCUCGCGUCCGAUUAGCUUGUUGGUGAGGUAACGGCCCACCAGGGCGACGAUCGGUAGCUGGUCUGAGAGGAUGGUCAGCCACACUGGGACUGAGAUACGGCCCAGACUCCUACGGGAGGCAGCAGUCGAGAGGCUUUGUCAAUGGGGGAAACCCUGAACAAGCGACGCCGCGUGGGGGAUGACGGCCUUUGGGUUGUAAACCCCUUUCAGCAGGGACGAAUGUUAUGUGGGUGAAUAAUCCACGUAGUUGACGGUACCCGCAGAAGAAGCUCCGGCUAACUCCGUGCCAGCAGCCGCGGUAAUACGGGGGGAGCGAGCGUUGUUCGGAAUCACUGGGCGUAAAGGGCGUGUAGGCGGUUCGGCAAGUGAGAUGUGAAAGCCCCCGGCUCACCCGGGGAUGUGCAUUUCAUACUGCCGGACUUGAGUGCGGAAGAGGAUGGGGGAAUUCCUGGUAGCGGUGAAAUGCGUAGAUAUCAGGAGGAACACCGGUGGCGAAGGCGCCCAUCUGGUCCGUUACUGACGCUGAUGCGCGAAAGCUAGGGGAGCGAACGGGAUUAGAUACCCCGGUAGUCCUAGCCGUAAACGGUGGGCACUAGGUGUUGGAGGCAUCGACCCUUCCAGUGCCGCAGCUAACGCAUUAAGUGCCCCGCCUGGGGAGUACGGUCGCAAGACUGAAACUCAAAGGAAUUGACGGGGGCCCGCACAAGCGGUGGAGCAUGUGGUUCAAUUCGACGCAACGCGAAGAACCUUACCCAGGCUUGACAUGCACUGGACCGGUGUAGAAACACACCUUCCCUUCGGGGCUAGUGCACAGGUGCUGCAUGGCUGUCGUCAGCUCGUGUCGUGAGAUGUUGGGUUAAGUCCCGCAACGAGCGCAACCCUUGCCCUUAGUUGCUAACGAAUAAAGUCGAGCACUCUAGGGGGACUGCCGGCGGUAAGCCGGAGGAAGGUGGGGACGACGUCAAGUCCUCAUGGCCCUUACGCCUGGGGCUACACACGUGCUACAAUGACCGACACAGAGGGCUGCGAUACCGCGAGGUGGAGCCAAUCCCAAAAAGUCGGCCUCAGUUCGGAUUGCAGUCUGCAACUCGACUGCAUGAAGGUGGAAUCGCUAGUAAUCGCUGAUCAGCAGGCAGCGGUGAAUACGUUCCCGGGCCUUGUACACACCGCCCGUCAAGCCACGAAAGUUGGCAGUACCCGAAGUCGCCGUGGUAACCCGCAAGGGAGCUAGGCGCCUAAGGUAAGGCUAGCGAUUGGGGCUAAGUCGUAACAAGGUA